UUUAAUCAAGUAUUGUUAUCCGAUAUAAGUCUGUGAAGAAGGUUCAGACGUUUCUACCGCACGCCGUUCAGUUGCGACUAUUGGGUGGAUGUAAAUCGUC
RNAcentral lists this non-coding RNA (100 nucleotides) under Roseburia sp. RNAcentral's name for it is "Guanine sequence". It matches the Rfam family "Purine riboswitch aptamer". From Rfam's summary of the family: Riboswitches are metabolite binding domains within certain messenger RNAs that serve as precision sensors for their corresponding targets. Allosteric rearrangement of mRNA structure is mediated by ligand binding, and this results in modulation of gene expression. The record is from RNAcentral. Lineage: Bacteria; Bacillati; Bacillota; Clostridia; Lachnospirales; Lachnospiraceae.